AGUGAACGCUGGCGGUAGGCCUAACACAUGCAAGUCGGACGGCAGCACAGUAAGAGCUCGCUCUUACGGGUGGCGAGUGGCGGACGGGUGAGGAAUACAUCGGAAUCUACUUUUUCGUGGGGGAUAACGUAGGGAAACUUACGCUAAUACCGCAUACGACCUACGGGUGAAAGCAGGGGAUCUUCGGACCUUGCGCGAUUGAAUGAGCCGAUGUCGGAUUAGCUAGUUGGCGGGGUAAAGGCCCACCAAGGCGACGAUCCGUAGCUGGUCUGAGAGGAUGAUCAGCCACACUGGAACUGAGACACGGUCCAGACUCCUACGGGAGGCAGCAGUGGGGAAUAUUGGACAAUGGGCGCAAGCCUGAUCCAGCCAUACCGCGUGGGUGAAGAAGGCCUUCGGGUUGUAAAGCCCUUUUGUUGGGAAAGAAAAGCAGCAGGUUAAUACCCCGCUGUUCUGACGGUACCCAAAGAAUAAGCACCGGCUAACUUCGUG
This 492-nucleotide ribosomal RNA is filed under the name uncultured bacterium. Its description in RNAcentral is "partial 16S ribosomal RNA". It matches the Rfam family "Bacterial small subunit ribosomal RNA", at positions 29 to 507 of the family's 1533-position model. The record is from RNAcentral.